CGUACUUGCCGUCGGGACCUUCGUGUUCCGCGCCUUCUAUCCGGCGUUCCGGGACCUGGAGGCCGAAGCCGAGGACAGGCACACCGCCAAGGGCGUCGACGCCUCCCAGGCGCUGCCCCUGAGCGCGCUGUUCCGUGACCGGAACUUCGCCGGCAUGAUCAUCACGACCGCGC
Molecule: unclassified non-coding RNA, 173 nt
Filed under: Streptomyces turgidiscabies
Lineage: Bacteria; Bacillati; Actinomycetota; Actinomycetes; Kitasatosporales; Streptomycetaceae
Source: RNAcentral